AUUGAACGCUGGCGGCAUGCCUUACACAUGCAAGUCGAACGGCAGCGCGGGGCAACCUGGCGGCGAGUGGCGAACGGGUGAGUAAUAUAUCGGAACGUGCCCUGGAGUGGGGAUAACGCAGCGAAAGUUACGCUAAUACCGCAUACGAUCCAAGGAUGAAAGCAGGGGACCUUCGGGCCUUGUGCUCCUGGAGCGGCCGAUAUCUGAUUAGCUAGUUGGUGGGGUAAAAGCCUACCAAGGCGACGAUCAGUAGCUGGUCUGAGAGGACGACCAGCCACACUGGAACUGAGACACGGUCCAGACUCCUACGGGAGGCAGCAGUGGGGAAUUUUGGACAAUGGGGGGCAACCCUGAUCCAGCAAUGCCGCGUGUGUGAAGAAGGCCUUCGG
RNAcentral lists this ribosomal RNA (389 nucleotides) under uncultured bacterium. Its description in RNAcentral is "bacterial SSU rRNA". It matches the Rfam family "Bacterial small subunit ribosomal RNA", at positions 30 to 421 of the family's 1533-position model. The record is from RNAcentral.